GGAUCCGCCCCGGCGCCCUCGGGCCCGGAUCAGGCGCCCGCCGGAGACCCAAACUCUUGUAUUUCUUUAGUAUCUUCUGAGUAAACAAGCAAAUAAAUUAAAACUUUCAACAACGGAUCUCUUGGUUCUGGCAUCGAUGAAGAACGCAGCGAAAUGCGAUAAGUAAUGUGAAUUGCAGAAUUCCGUGAAUCAUCGAAUCUUUGAACGCACAUUGCGCCCGCCAGUAUUCUGGCGGGCAUGCCUGUUCGAGCGUCAUUUCAACCCUCAAGCCCCCGGGCUUGGUGUUGGGGCUCGGCCCGUCCCUCGUGGCGCGCCGUCCCCGAAAUCUAGUGGCGGUCACGCUGUACUCCUCUGCGUAGUAAUCUAACCUCGCAACGGGACAAAGCCUGGCCACGCCGUUAAACCCCCCACUUCUGAAGGUUGACCUCGGAUCAGGUAGGAAUACCCGCUGAACUUAAGC
RNAcentral lists this ribosomal RNA (460 nucleotides) under Fusarium merismoides. RNAcentral's name for it is "eukaryotic LSU rRNA". The stretch from base 102 to 255 matches the Rfam family "5.8S ribosomal RNA". Lineage: Eukaryota; Fungi; Ascomycota; Sordariomycetes; Hypocreales; Nectriaceae. The record is from RNAcentral.